CCAUCUCUGUAGCACAACAGACGUACCCGAGCGGAAAGCAGGAGCAGCCGUGAUCCGGGGAUCGGGUUCAGGCCGAGAUUGAGAGUGGGAGAGAGCGAGAAGCAGAGAGCGAAGAGUGAGGUGGUGAGUGAAGGGCCUCAUCCGGUAGCCGCUGCGUCUGGGCCUCGGCCACCUACCCUCACCGACGCGUGCCUCUCCCUCACGAUUCGUGCAGCCCUGAAUGUUUCUGCCCUCAUUAUACUCUUUCUUUUUAUGAGCCGUAUGCAUGCUAGCGGUUAAAUCGUGGGAUGUGUCGGUGAAGCGAAGGCCUUGUGAGGAUUCCUGAAUGAGUCCUCGCCUCCUGGCCAUCAACUGGCGAUGGCAAACUGCCAAAGAAAUCAAAAUGACAGCACAAUCGAAUCGAAACAUUACAUGAAGUGAUCGGAAACGAAACCGACAUAAAGAGAGAGUACCAAGUGGGCUGAUUGACGGCCAACAGACAAAGGCGAGGCCGCAAUCCGCAAGAUCAAGAGAGAGACUGGACGAGACGGCGACUCAGGCGAGACCAGAGAGGGAAAAAAAAAA
This is a long non-coding RNA of Eucalyptus grandis, 564 nucleotides long. RefSeq lists it as uncharacterized. The transcript is spliced from 2 exons. Lineage: Eukaryota; Viridiplantae; Streptophyta; Magnoliopsida; Myrtales; Myrtaceae. The record is from RefSeq and is a predicted model, not a curated record.